Molecule: long non-coding RNA, 260 nt
Filed under: Pelobates cultripes (western spadefoot toad)
Lineage: Eukaryota; Metazoa; Chordata; Amphibia; Anura; Pelobatidae
Source: RNAcentral
GUUUGACAACUUACCUGGGGUCUGCUGGGAUAUGGGGCUGUAGUAGGGAAUAGGAGCAGUGGUGCAAUGUGUGUGAAAGGUUCAGUGUGUGUGUGGGGGUGUAGUGUGUGAAUGUGUAGGGUGUGUGGGCUGUGUAUGUGUGUGGCAAUGUCAGUAUGGGGGGCUGUGUAUGGGGGUCUGUGUGUAUAUGGGUGGGUAGUGUAUGUGUGUGUGUGAGGCAAUGUGUGUAAAUGUGUAUGGUGUGUAUGGGGGCAGUGUGU